CCAAUUUUCGGCGCCGAUUUGCCUGAUCCGCUUGCGGGCGCCUUCCAAUAAAUCCAGCUAAAGAGGUCCGUAUGACCACUCC
Non-coding RNA from Achromobacter insuavis AXX-A, 82 nucleotides. NCBI's taxonomy places the organism in Bacteria, Pseudomonadati, Pseudomonadota, Betaproteobacteria, Burkholderiales, Alcaligenaceae. The record is from Rfam.